Non-coding RNA from Porphyromonas endodontalis ATCC 35406, 95 nucleotides. It matches the Rfam family "ctRNA". From Rfam's summary of the family: Rolling circle replication plasmids contain a number of mechanisms to maintain a low copy number. One of these methods is to transcribe a small RNA called ctRNA (for counter-transcribed RNA) than is transcribed on the opposite strand to RepB the replication initiation protein. ctRNA binds to the mRNA of repB and causes translational inhibition. The record is from Rfam. Lineage: Bacteria; Pseudomonadati; Bacteroidota; Bacteroidia; Bacteroidales; Porphyromonadaceae.
AUACAAGAUUAUAAAAACAACUCAGUGUUUUUUUCUUUGAAUGAUGUCGUUCACAAACUUUGAUCAGGGCGUGAGCGACUCCUUUUUAUUUUGUU